UCUGUGCUUUCCCGGGUAGUACAUUUAUGGU
Molecule: non-coding RNA, 31 nt
Filed under: Rattus norvegicus (Norway rat)
Lineage: Eukaryota; Metazoa; Chordata; Mammalia; Rodentia; Muridae
Source: RNAcentral